UACGAAGGGUGCAAACGUUGCUCGGAAUCAUUGGGCGUAAAGCGCACGUAGGCGGCCUAUUAAGUCGGAUGUGAAAUCCCUCGGCUCAACCGAGGACGUGCAUACGAAACUGGUAGGCUCGAGUAUGGAAGAGGGUCGCGGAAUUCCCGGUGUAGAGGUGAAAUUCGUAGAUAUCGGGAGGAACACCAGUGGCGCAAGCGGCUGACUGGCCGAGACCUGACGCUGAGACGCGACGGCGUGGGGAGCAAACCGG
This 253-nucleotide ribosomal RNA is filed under the name uncultured bacterium. RNAcentral describes it as "partial 16S ribosomal RNA". It matches the Rfam family "Bacterial small subunit ribosomal RNA", at positions 524 to 776 of the family's 1533-position model. The record is from RNAcentral.